This 341-nucleotide long non-coding RNA is filed under the name Manihot esculenta (cassava). Its description in RNAcentral is "long non-coding RNA (MESC_LNC002355)". Lineage: Eukaryota; Viridiplantae; Streptophyta; Magnoliopsida; Malpighiales; Euphorbiaceae. The record is from RNAcentral.
CCAGCCUCGCGCGCGACCGAACCAGCGGACGCUCCAUCAUCGCCGGUCACGUGUCGCUCCGCCGGGCGAAGCCUGCGCAACCUUCAUCGCCGGAUGCAACCACACGCUAGCGUUUGCAGAUGAGAUGAGUUAUGAGGAUGAGAGGUGAAACAUGAGAUCCUAAAGCAACUCCAAGACUGAGAAAUACAACCCAACCACCACCAGCUUGAGUUCUAUGCGACUUACUCGUCAGGAAGUUCUCUUUUAACUUACUUCUAUUUUAUUUUAUGGAUCUCCCUCGUUUGAUUGAAUUUUUUUCAUAUUGAGGACAAUGUAAGGAGUAAGUGUGGGGGAGAUGUGGU